GCGUCCCAGCUGUCCCCUUGCAUACACACUGGCCCGCCGUGGGGUCCCAUUCCCACACAGCUGCCUCUGCGGCUGUUUCCUGAUGGACAGAGGGGACUCUAGCAGCUGACCUCCGAGGCAGCAUGGGAGAGCAGCCCUGAAACUCUCUUCUAAACGGUUUCAACCUUGAGGAAACAUUUGUUCUCUCCUCAUAAAACUGUGACUAUCUUUAAAACUGCAGUAGGACCAGGAUAGCUUGGGAUAGGGAGCGUGUUACAGGGGCGGGACCUGGAAACCCCCAGGAGCGGGGGGCUAAGAGACAGAAACAGAAAAGGCAGUGAAAAAGUCCCUUGGGAAUGAACUGGUCUUCCUGGCUUAUAGAUCACCUUCCCCGAGAAAGCUCCUUCCUUAUUGGCUGACCGUUUUCGGGCAUAAUUGGGAGGGUUUUGUUUUGUUAGAGCAUUCAACACCUUGGCUCCUGGGCGGGAGCAAAGGCAAGAGUGCCCCUUCCUGGCCUUGUGGGCUUGUAUUGCCAAGUCUGAGCUGUCACGAGGGACAGGGCUGCAGGGCCGUCCAGAGUGGAAAGUGCAGGAGCCGUGCCCUCCCCUUGCCUUUCAGAAUCCUGCCACCCCGCUUUCUUGGGCCUCACUGUGCGCCCUGUGCCCACCGUGGCGUUUGGCAGCAGGCUCUCAUCCAGAAGUUAGCUGGGCAAGGUGCUGAGUUUGUACCUUGGUCCUGUUUCUUUUGCAUUUCCUGGAGAGCUUGUUAGUGCUGCGAGAUGGUGGUUACUUAAUAUCUCACCACUGUGACAGGCGCUGAGAAGCAGAAGACUCCAUGCCUAGUGAGAAUGAUAACCCCACAUAUUAUUUGUCUUUUAUCCCGACUGGCAGCCGGUUAUCUUGGGCUCUCUGAGCAGGGAAAGUUUGGAUUCCUGAGCUGCGUGCUCACGGGCACCAGGAGG
This is a non-coding RNA of Heterocephalus glaber (naked mole-rat), 940 nucleotides long. NCBI's taxonomy places the organism in Eukaryota, Metazoa, Chordata, Mammalia, Rodentia, Bathyergidae. The record is from RefSeq and is a predicted model, not a curated record.